RNAcentral lists this ribosomal RNA (731 nucleotides) under uncultured bacterium. RNAcentral's name for it is "bacterial SSU rRNA". It matches the Rfam family "Bacterial small subunit ribosomal RNA", at positions 60 to 763 of the family's 1533-position model. The record is from RNAcentral.
AGUCGUACGCUUCUUUUUCCCCGGAGCUUGCUCCACCGGAAAAAGAAGAGUGGCGAACGGGUGAGUAACACGUGGGUAACCUGCCCAUCAGAAGGGGAUAACACUUGGAAACAGGUGCUAAUACCGUAUAACAAUCGAAACCGCAUGGUUUUGAUUUGAAAGGCGCUUUCGGGUGUCGCUGAUGGAUGGACCCGCGGUGCAUUAGCUAGUUGGUGAGGUAACGGCUCACCAAGGCCACGAUGCAUAGCCGACCUGAGAGGGUGAUCGGCCACAUUGGGACUGAGACACGGCCCAAACUCCUACGGGAGGCAGCAGUAGGGAAUCUUCGGCAAUGGACGAAAGUCUGACCGAGCAACGCCGCGUGAGUGAAAGAGGUUUUCGGAUCGUAAAACUCUGUUGUUAGAGAAGAACAAGGAUGAGAGUAACUGUUCAUCCCUUGACGGUAUCUAACCAGAAAGCCACGGCUAACUACGUGCCAGCAGCCGCGGUAAUACGUAGGUGGCAAGCGUUGUCCGGAUUUAUUGNGCGUAAAGCGAGCGCAGGCGGUUUCUUAAGUCUGAUGUGAAAGCCCCCGGCUCAACCGGGGAGGGUCAUUGGAAACUGGGAGACUUGAGUGCAGAAGAGGAGAGUGGAAUUCCAUGUGUAGCGGUGAAAUGCGUAGAUAUAUGGAGGAACACCAGUGGCGAAGGCGGCUCUCUGGUCUGUAACUGACGCUGAAGCUCGAAAGCGUG